UACAGGGGGUGCAAACGUUGCUCGGAAUUAUUGGGCGUAAAGCGCACGUAGGCGGUUCGUUAUGUCGGAUGUGAAAGCCCUUGGCUCAACUGAGGAAGUGCAUCCGAAACUGGCGAGCUAGAGUAUGUAAGAGGGUCGCGGAAUUCCCGGUGUAGAGGUGAAAUUCGUAGAUAUCGGGAGGAACACCGGUGGCGAAGGCGGCGACCUGGGACAAUACUGACGCCGAGGUGCGAAAGCGUGGGGAGCAAACAGG
RNAcentral lists this ribosomal RNA (253 nucleotides) under uncultured bacterium. RNAcentral's name for it is "partial 16S ribosomal RNA". It matches the Rfam family "Bacterial small subunit ribosomal RNA", at positions 524 to 776 of the family's 1533-position model. The record is from RNAcentral.